Sinocyclocheilus rhinocerous is the source of this 5421-nucleotide RNA transcript. It is a transcript of the gene named protein turtle homolog B-like, with no coding region annotated. The record is from RefSeq and is a predicted model, not a curated record. The transcript is spliced from 21 exons. Lineage: Eukaryota; Metazoa; Chordata; Actinopteri; Cypriniformes; Cyprinidae.
UUCACGCUGGCAUUGCUAUCAAGCCGCGUCUGGCUGCCGUUCGCUGGUGCAGGUGCUCUAUUUCAUCGAGAGAGGACGCGAAAGGAAAGAAGGGGAGGGAAAGAAUGAAGGGAACCGUCGGAGAAAAGUAUGCAGGGCAUGAAUAAAAGGGUAUCAGCAGCUGACAGUGUGUCUAACGUCCAGGGGCUCGGAUAAGAAUGAUUUAUUGAAAGGGGCACUUUGAGAUAUGAUGAGGUUUCUCUCUGGUUGGCAAUAGUACUAUGAUUUGGUAUGUGGCCACUUUGAUAGCAAGUGUAUUCAGCACCAGAGGAACAGCUGCUCAAGGUGCCCACGGAGUCAGAGAGGAGCCCCAGUUUGUGACGGCCCGCGCAGGGGAGACCGUGAUUCUGGGAUGUGACAUGGCUCACCUACUCAACGGCCAGCCCUACGUGGUGGAGUGGUUCAAGUUUGGAGUGCCCAUCCCCUUCUUCAUCAACUUCCGCUUCUACCCUCCUCACGUGGACCCCGAGUACGCCGGCCGAGCCAGCCUGCAUGGCAAGUCAUCUCUACGUAUUGAGAGGGUUCGCUCGGAAGACCAGGGCUGGUACGAGUGCAAGGUCCUGAUGCUGGAACAACAGUACCACACCUUUCACAAUGGCAGCUGGGUGCACCUCACAGUCAACGCUCCCCCAACUUUCACGGACACACCGCCGCAGUAUGUGGAGGCCAAAGAGGGGGGCAGCAUCACUCUGAGCUGCACGGCCUUCGGGAAUCCCAAACCUUCAGUCAGCUGGCUCAGGGAGGGAGACUCCGUACAGGACAGCAGCAAGUAUAAGGUGAGUGAUGGCAGCCUGACGAUUGUUUCUAUCAGCCGUGAGGACAGGGGAGCGUAUACAUGCCGAGCAUACAGCGAGCAGGGAGAGGUCGUCCAUACUACACGCCUACUCGUCCAAGGACCCCCAUUUAUUGUUUCACCGCCAGAGAACAUAACCGUAAACAUAUCCCAGGAUGCAUUCUUCACUUGUCAGGCUGAGGCGUAUCCUGGCAACCUAACGUACACCUGGUUCUGGGAGGAAGAUAACGUCUUCUUCAAGAAUGAUCUAAAGCGCAGAGUGAGUAUUCUGAUCGACGGUUCGCUCAUCAUCUCCCAGGUGAAACCUGAGGAUGCUGGGAAAUACACCUGCAGCCCGAGUAACAGCCUUGGGCGCCCACCUUCUGCAUCAGCGUACUUGAUAGUGCAUUACCCUGCCCGUGUUGUAAACAUGCCGCCUGUUAUUUACGUGGCUAUCGGACUGCCGGGGUACAUCCGCUGCCCGGUGGAUGCCAACCCGCCUGUCACUUCAGUGAAGUGGAAAAAGGACAGCCUGCCUCUGCGGAUAGAGAAGUACCCUGGCUGGAGCCAAAUGGAAGAUGGGAGCAUUCGAGUGUCUGAGGUGACAGAGGACUCUCUCGGCACCUACACCUGCGUGCCUUACAAUAGCCUCGGUACAAUGGGACAGUCCCCUCCCGCUCCUCUGGUGCUAAAGGACCCACCCAAAUUUCUGGUGGUUCCUGGAGGGGAGUACAGGCAGGAGGCUGGUCGAGAGCUGGUCAUCCCCUGUGAGGCAGAAGGAGACCCAUUCCCCAACAUUACAUGGAGAAAGGUAGGGAAGCCCAGCAGAAGCAAGCACAACGUCCUACCACGAGGCAGCUUACAGUUCAAAUCUCUCAGCAAGGAGGACCAUGGGGAGUGGGAGUGUGUCGCCUCCAAUGUCGCCACGAGCAUCACUGCCAGCACGCACCUCCUAGUAAUCGGCACAAGCCCACACGCUGCCGCCAAAGUCCACGUUUCGGUCUCGACGACCUCGGCCAACGUCUCGUGGGAACCCAGUUACGAUGGCGGCUUUGAGCAGACAUUCUCAGUCUGGUACGGCCAUGUGGUGAAGAGGGAGCAGUUAGGACCGCAUGACUGGCUGUCCAUGCCUGUGCCCAGCGGGCAGCACUGGCUCCUGGUGCAAGGCCUGGUGUCCGAGACGGCCUACCAAUUCAGUGUCCUGGCCCAGAACAAACUGGGGACGGGCCCGUUCAGCGAGGUCGUCACUGUGAACACACUAGUAUUUCCUAUAAGUACCCCAGAACCACUGGUGCUGCUUACCCCACCACGGUGCCUCACAGCCAACCGGACACAGCAGGGAGUCCUACUCACAUGGAUCCCUCCAGCCAAUCACACGUCACCAAUUGAUCACUACAUCAUGGAGUUCCGCCUCGGGGAGAGGUGGGAUGUUCUUGAUGAUGCAAUCCCUGCUGCAGAGACCGAGCUAUUAGCUAGAGACCUGGUUCAGGAGGCCUGGUAUGAGUUCAGAGUGAUGGCGGUUAUGGAGGACGUAGUCAGUGAGCCCAGUAAUGUAGUGGGAGUCUCUAGCACAGACUACUUUCCGCUGCCUGAGGUGCCAGACGAGGGGCUGGCGCGGCCGGUGGUGGCAGGCAUUGUGGCCACCAUCUGUUUCCUGGCAGCAGCCAUCCUCUUCAGCACGCUAGCAGCCUGCUUCGUCAACAAACAGAGACGGCGUAAGCUCAAGCAGAGACGAGAUCCCCCUCUGUCUAUAACACACUGCAGAAAGAGCAUGGAGACUCCAUCAUCUUCUGGAAAGGUUAGUCCAGAAAGUGUCCGCUCCAUUGGACCUCCUUCAGAGUCCUCAGAGGAUGGUUUACGAGCUAAGAAGUUUCCUCAAAGUCCUGCCAAGGAGAAGGAGCUGUCUUUAUACAAGAAGACCAAGAGAGCAAUAAUUAGCAAGAAAUAUAGCGUCUCUAAGCACGAGGCAGAGGCUACCACGCCAAUCGAAUUGAUCAGUCGUGGCCCAGAUGGGCGCUUUAUCAUGGAACCUACAGCGGAAACUCCAGUUAAGGCACGGCGCAUUGAGGGAUUCCCCUUCGUUGAGGAGUCUGACCUGUACCCUGAAUUUCGACAGUCAGAUGAGGAGAAUGAUGAUCCGGGGCCCAUGCCGCCUAUGAUGGCUACCCUCAGACCCCAUCAGAUCUCCCCCAUUUCUUCUAGCCAGGAGUCUUACUUGCAGCCCCCAGCCUACAGUCCCCGCUUCCAGAGGCCAAUGGAAGGCAUGACUAUCAUGGAGAGCAGUCGACUCCAGGCUACAGGGCAGAUUCGUGGUGCUCCUCACUUCCGAGCCUUUUCCCAUGGCCAGUUCUACAGCUACUUAGGAAGUCCAGGGGAACCUGAGCCUCCACCUCCUUUCUACAUGCCAGACACCAGCCCUCUCAGCUCAGUAAUGUCUUCUCCUCCUUACCACCUGGAGGGACCUUUCGGUCAUCCCACCAUCCCAGAGGAAAUCGGUGAGGGAGAGAUUCAGCAUUAUGCAGUCUCUGGCUACACCCUUCCCUUGGCGCACCCCUCCACCUCGCGCUCCCCAGACAUCUGGCAGCGACCUGAUUUUACCUUUGCCACAAUCGAGGGUCCUCCCUUUAUUUUUCCACCCCCACACCCUUUGCAUCUUCAUCCGGAACCUCCCCUUCCUCCCCCUCUUGUUCUUCCUCCUAGUGCCCUCCAGCCCUCCACCCUUCAAGUAUCUCCUUACCCUGGUAUCCUGCAGCUGGAGGCCCCAAAGAGCCUCCCAGGCAAGUCUCCCAGCAAGGUCAAGCCUCAGGGCCUUCCAGCCAAGCGUUUACCUAUGCAAGAGGCACAGAGUCUAGGGCAGCUAAGACACACAAGCCACGGUAUGGGUGUACCGGUAUUGCCUUACCCUGACCCGGUGUCUCACAUGGUUGGCCCAAGCUCGUUCGGAAGCCUGGAUACCCGAUGGUACGAGCUUACACCCAGGCUUAGCCCAAGGCAGCCCCGUAGGAUGGAACCCAGCAUGGUAGUUCUCCAGCCAUCCCGCCUCUCACCUCUAACUCAGAGCCCUAUUAGCUCUCAUGAAGGCUCACCGGAGAUUGUAGUACGCCCCAGGCCCCGUCCCAGUGUCAUCCAACCCCCGAUCCCUCCAGAGAUGUCUGAGAUCACCCUUCAGCCUCCUUCUUCAGCUAGCUUCUCUAGAAGGUCCACCCCAUCCUCCUCUCCUGCUCAAGGCCAAGGCAGCCGAAGGGCAAGUCCCAGCUACCGAUCCCACAUGGCAUUUGCCACCUCAGCAGCAAGCUAUCCGUCACAGUCCCCUUCACCUCCUGUAGAAAGCAGCAACAUUUUUGGGCAGAUGCCAACCCAGAGGAGGACUGAGGAGGAGAUCCUUCCAUCAGAACCCUCUCCACCCCAGUUAUCAGCUUCAGGAAAACGUCGAGGUGCACCAAGUGGCUCUGCAGGGUCUGAGAGGAUAGAAGCACUGAGAUAUCAACGAGUGAAAAAAGCCAAGAAAGUCGGCAUCAACAGUAACAACUCCAAGACCAGACGAAAGAUGGGUGUGCCCCCCUCUCAGACCCAGCAGCCCCACACCUCUCAGGUCCUCCAGCCAGAAGAAGCUCUCUACCUCCGCAAGAAGAAGAAAAAGUUGACUCGCCAGGACCCGUACGCCCGCUUUUCCGCUCUGCUGUACCGCCGCCCGCCCCGAGAAGACCAGAAAGCCAUUUUGGCUAGUAUGGACACAGCAGACCCAGACCACGCCACUCUCCUCUGAAGUCCCAGAGAUUACAGGCCACACUCUUCCCAAACUCUGAGCUCCUUCCACCUUUGCUCAGCCAGCCAACGUCUUCACGUCCACCCCUGAAUCCAAUGAAACAGCAACCCAGCGCCUGUCUCUUUCCUCUGUGAAGACCCUUGGGGGAAAAUCUCUUUGGGAUGAGAGGGCUAUUCCCAGCGGCCAAAGGUUUAUAUUGUGUUUCUAUCAUCCAAUGGUGCUUCUUUUCUACAGAAAGACAUGUAUUUUCACUGUCUGAACAGACAUACCUGGGCAAAUGUACAUUUUAGCGUGCUAGCCAUUGUCCAAGAGGGCAUGUAAUGGCCGUUAGACGAGAUGUGGCAUGUUCUGUGUCUUAUCACUUGUACAGAUGUGCAGUCAGCUUGUACAUUUGAAAAAUGUCUAAAGCUGCAUCAAAUGGCUGAACAUUGUACUGUUUCUUCAGCCUGGGAAAAUAAUUCAAAUCAAAAAGCAAGUGAAGGUGAACCCUUGACCUCCAACUGACAGGUUAAAGGGGUUAUAGGUGUGUGGUUCAUGGCUAAGCCCCAUCCAAUGGCCAAUCACCACAUAUAGGCAUUUUAACAGCCUACAUAAGGUGCUAUAAAAAGUCUUCAGACUGAACUCUGUUAAUAAUAUAUCAUUAAUUUGAUCUUCCAGCAGAUAAUGGCUGCUGCUUAUAGGUGCCGUAACAUUAGCGAAAUUUCAUCAAAAUUUUGUGAGCAAAAAGUUUUGUUGUCUAUUAUCAAUAGUGUAGCGAUGCAUGAAGCACCACUCACACCGAAGUCACUUUCAAACCAAGCAGCUUUCUGUUAAAGGGGUGGUUGACUGGUUUUUUUCUAGGCUU